Molecule: long non-coding RNA, 212 nt
Filed under: Mytilus galloprovincialis (Mediterranean mussel)
Lineage: Eukaryota; Metazoa; Mollusca; Bivalvia; Mytilida; Mytilidae
Source: RNAcentral
AAAGUUCAGAACAAUAUGAAUCAAAAUUAACUAAAACCUAUGUUUAUAACCAGAGUUUACCAAUAUACCUUAACUGUAUAGUACAUGUACAAGUAUUAACUUACCUGUAAAUCCAAUUAGGGGCAAAUAUAAAAUCGGCGCAAAUGAAAAAAUGAAAUUGGCGCAAAUGAAAGAAUGAAAAUUUAAAAAAUCGGCGCAAAUGUCAUACGCCC